ACUCAUCGGGAAACGGUGCCUGGAGCCUGCGCACUCGGUUACGGCCCACAGUGCGUGAGCGCAUGCGCCUGGAGUGCGGGACGGAGACGCUGGAGAAGGUAGGGCCGGUGCGGUGAACUUGGGCAGGUGGGCACCGAGGAGGCCAGACCCCUCGCACCCUUGUGAGUGUCACACUGGGACUAUGUGAGCCAGUGAAAUCCCCGAAAGGGGCAAUUAAAAAUAUCCAGGGCUUGGCAAGAUCUGAUGGGUGUGUACAGAUUUCUCUCUCAAGGCCAAUAUCCCUGGUGACCUUCCAUUUAUGGAGAUAGACGUGUGGCAGGAAAGAAGGUUAAUACAAUCUUCAGCACUAUUACACUGUGCUUUUUUUCCUUCCAUGAAUUUGUUUUGGAAAGACCCUCACAGCCCCGGCAAACUUGUUCAGAAGGGGAGGGGUGAAGCGCCGGGAUGAAAUCAGGAUCUGGAGACCAGGAAAUGCCACCCCAUGGGCUGGAGCCCAAGGGGACACCCGCAUCCAUCUCCGUCUGCCCACACAACAGGAAGGCAGAGGAAGGGCAGACGGGGUCCACCCUCGGCCAGGCUCUCCCCACCUGGUGGUCUUCAGAGACCCUGGUUCCAGUCCCCUGCCUUCACCCACCUCCCACGAGCCCCAGUUGCCUGGACAGGCUUCAGCACAUGAUAUAAGAGAGGAUGGAGCAGCCGGUGCUAAUCACUUGGCGUUGCCCAAGAGUUCAGGGGUCAGAAACUCAACUCAAACUUUUAAGCCCAAAAGAGAAUCCGUUUCACAUUACUGCCACCUGUCUGGAGCCAAGGGGUGGACUUCAGGUAUGGCUGGAUCCAGGACUUUGGACCAUGUUCCUAGAGACUGAUCACUCUUGGCCUGCUCUGCUAUAUUCUGGGUGGGCUUCCUUCUCGGGCAGCUUCUCCCGUCAUGGGGUAGUGAUGUCUAGGAGCCCCAAACCUAUACUCCUUGCUCCCCUAACAUGCCCAUUCUAUAGAUGGGGAAACAAGAGCUUUGGAGUGAAGUGACUUCAUAACAACAUCACAUCACAUCACAUCACAUCACAUCACAACACAACACAACACAACAUAACAAACAUAACAUAACAUAAAACAUAACAAACAUAACAUAACACAACAUACCACAACAUAAAACAUAACAUAUAUAACAUCAUAACAUAACAACAUAUAACAACACAUAACACCACAACACAACAUGACAUGUCUCAUGUAACACCUGUGAGGGGUGAAGACAAAUUUACACACAGGUCUGACCCCAAACCCUGAGUACUUAAACUACUAAAUCACUAUGCCUGCUACAGACCUGUCCCCAGGGUGUAAAGGAAAUGGUUAGCAUUUUCUCAGUUUUCAGAGUUCUCUCAUUUGAAUCUCUUCAGUCUUUUCUGACUUUUAACUCACACUUGUCUGAGCCAGAAUCUGGCACAGUAUGCAAUCUCCAGGCAGUAAAGAUUCAGGGAGCAGUUCCUACAUGCCCCAAACUAGAUGCUGGUCUUUUAUAGAUAUGAAACUAGUUAAGUAUGUGAAAUUGAAAGUAAUGACUUCAUGGGGUUCCACAAAGAGCCCAGUAGCUUUUGGAUAUCUUAGCAGGUGAACACAUCUGAAACCUACAGAGGGAAGGAUUCACCCUGAGCAAAAAGUUAAGAGCGAAUAUAGAUCUGGGCUACAAUUCCUUCGGGCUUUAUGCAAAAAUGUAAAUGUUUCCAAGAAAAAUAAUGUGAUUACCUAACAUCAGUCAUCACAUUUUAAGUAGAUCUGGGUGUAUCUAAGUAACAUCUGGGAGGGGUGACUUUUGCCCUGGAAAUAAAAAAAGCUAAGAACUAAUCUUUGAGUUACUGUACAUUCAGGCCACAUGAAAAAAAAAUGUAACUGCUCCCAAGAAAAGGACUUUAUCUACCUGAUAGCAGCCAUUCACCUUCAACUAGCACUAGUGAUACCUAACUAACACCAGAGGGGGAAGGAUUUUGCCCUGGACAAAAACCUAAGAGUUAAUCUGGACUUGAACUACAAUUCUUCUAAAUCCCCUUAGAAAAUAUGACUGUUCCCAAGAAAAGGAAUAUACAUGCCUGACAGUCAGUCAUUCACACUUUAGGUAGAAUUAGCUCAAAGUACUUGGAGCACAUUUUCCCUCUGUAUUGUCAGAAACCACUUGAGGUAGUUUCAGGGAUGGAAAGCAAAAAGCACCAGUGAGAAAAGCGUGCAUAUAGGGGAACAGCGUCCUAGCAGGGCUUGGCUGGUGAUCAUUGAUACUUUAAUGUUCACAUCAGGAAAAAGCAAAAAUAGUGAAAGAGAGGCAUUAUCUUAUUUAAGGAAUGUUCCAGGGAGGCAUCUAGUCCCACUGGGAAUGCUGGGCUUUGGGGACACAGGCAAGUCAAUUUACUUUUGUAGGGGAGGCAGCCCCUAUGUGCUAACCCUAAUACAAGGUAAGUUUGCACUAGCAAACUUAGGAAACCAUGGAGAAGGUAUGAUCUCAUUUUAUUUGUAAUGUUUUACUUAUUUUUUAAAAAAAUGGAAUUGUAUGUCUUUGUUUGGAAUAUGUACAAUAGGCACAUGGCUCAAAAUUCCAAGAGUGUAGAUGAUUGUACAGUGGAAAGCCUUUCUCCUCUGCUACACCAGCUCCCCAGAUCCCAUCCCUGAAGGCUACUACUAUCCCCCGGUUCUCAUGUCCCAUUUCAGAGAUACUCUAUACAUACACAAGAAAUGUGUAUAUACAUCCAUUUUCCCCUUUCUCACACACAUACAGUAUCCUGUGUUCUAUACCUUCAUUUUUUUACUGAAUUGGUGCAUUUUUAAUGGGAAGACAUUACUCCAUGAGAGAUGAAACUAGCUUUUAGGGGGUGGCAAAAUAUCUUACUCUUUUUAUGUAUAAAUACAGAUAUACAUACACCAUGCAAGCAGAUAUAUAAUAUACAUAUGAUAUUAAAAGUUUACAGGGUUGGCUGUUAGGAAAAAUGCCUUCAAAGUCUCCCCGUGGGGCAAAAAUGAUAAAAGAGAAGUUGAGAAACACUGAUGUAACCAUAUAUUUUCAGUAUUGUCCCAUAUCAGUACAUACAGAUAAUUUCCAUUCAUUUUCACAGCUAUAUAAUAUUCCAUUGUGUGACUGCAUCAGACUCUAUUAAUCAAUCCCCUACUGAUGGAUAUUUUCAGUCUCUAAUGUUUUGCUAAAUGUUUUAUGUAUAUGGUUGUUCAUUAUGUAUUUUGCAUACCUUUUAUUGUAGAGAAUAAACUUAUAAUAAUAAUGCACAGGUCUUAGAUGUAUUCAGUUUGAUGAGUUGUGCAAUUCUAUAUACUUGUGUAAACCACCACUAAAGACCAGAUAUAGGAUAUUUUCACCCCCCUUGAAAUUUCAUGCCCCUGUCCACUCAAUUUCCCACUCUGUCCCAGGCAACCACUUUCCGUCCCCAAAGAUUACUUUUGCCUGUUCUCUGGAUUUCAAAUGAAUGGAAUCAUAUAGUGUGUAAUCUGUUUUCUUUUGGCACAGUGCAUUUGUGAUUCAUCUGUGUUAUUACAUGUAUUAGUAAUUUGUUUCUUUUUAUAGCUGAGUAGUAUUGUGUUGUAUGGAUAGAACAGUUUGUUUAUCCCCUCCCAUGUUGUUGGCUAUUUGAGUGUUUCCAGUUUGGGACAAUUAUGAAUAAAAGUGCUAUGAACAUUCACACGCAAGUCUUUCUGGGAACAUACAUUUGCAUUUCUGUUAGGUAAAUACCCAGAAGAGAAAUCACUAAGUCAUAUGGCAAAUGCCCAUUUCACUUUAUAAGAGACUGCCUAAUUUCCCAAAGUUUUGCAGAAUGGUUAGACCAUUUUGGUUCCCACCAAUGAUGGAUGAGCAUUCCAGUUGCUCCAUGUCUUUCUGC
Manis pentadactyla (Chinese pangolin) is the source of this 3866-nucleotide long non-coding RNA. RefSeq lists it as uncharacterized. The transcript has 6 exons. The record is from RefSeq and is a predicted model, not a curated record. NCBI's taxonomy places the organism in Eukaryota, Metazoa, Chordata, Mammalia, Pholidota, Manidae.